Molecule: RNA transcript, 3573 nt
Organism: Oncorhynchus gorbuscha (pink salmon)
Lineage: Eukaryota; Metazoa; Chordata; Actinopteri; Salmoniformes; Salmonidae
Gene name: protein salvador homolog 1-like
Exons: 6
Source: RefSeq, a predicted model, not a curated record
UCACUGUGGUCUUCCCGGCCCACAAUCCUCCGCGGGCCGGAAUGAAGCGGUGAGCGGUUCUGAUGACAUGAUGGGCUGGAGACUUCAACUGGCUUGGAGAACAAAAACUGUCAUUUUAACUGGGUGAAAAUAGUUUACUUUCAGCAAAACAGGCAAGAAUGAGUUGAUUACAAGCAAUCGUUCUGUUUUUAGCGGCUUGUCUAAAUUGCCAGGUAAUUAGCAAACGGUAUGCGUAAGUUAACUAACGUUAGCCGAGUCUGUAGUUUAAUUAGCCUAGCUAGCUAGCUAACUUCGGUUAGCUAAAAUGUACACACUACAGAUUGGAAGGGACGCUGGUAGUUUUUGGGGAACUUUCCACGAGUUUAUUACACUGCAUUGAUGUCUCCUUUUUGAGUUAUGCUUUCAAGAAAGAAAAGUAAAAGCGAGGCGUCGAAACCAGCGGAAGUACACGGGAAAUAUGUGAAGAAGGAGACUUCACCAGUCCUGAGAAAUCUCAUGCCCUCAUUCAUCCGACAUGGACCCACUAUUCCCAGACGCACCGAGGUCCCUCUGCCUGAGCCUGGUCCCUCAGCCUACCCUGUGGGAACCAGCCCUGAACCUGUGGUGGUUCGCAACAAGAGCUUCCUGCGCGCCCCUGUGCAGAGACCACCCCACGAGGUGGCUCGGCGGGAGAGCCAUAGGAUGUCAGCCCCUCCGUACCUACCACGUAGCCUGGGGGAUAUAACCCACGAGUACGGAGGCUCCUCACAGUCCUUCCUCACGGACGUGAGCGCCGCGGCUGAGAACGGUGACGCUGGACGCUACUACUACCCCCCGCCUCCGGAACCUUACUACGACAGCCAGCAGCAGCAGCAGCAGCAGCAGCAGAGACGGCCUCAGCCCAGGCCCCAGCAGCCCAGAGCACCUGAACGCUUCCAUGAGGACUAUAGAUACUAUGAACACAACGAACAUCCAAACUUCCAAAGACUACCACCACCACAACAACACACUUCCCCGACCCCAAACAGACCGCCAACAGGUAUUGGUCGGAUGCAGGCUAAGUCUCUGGGGAACCUGUCCAGUCCGAGCGGCGAGGACCUCCCCCUGCCCCGUGGUUGGACGGUAGACUGGACCAUCAGAGGCAGGAAGUACUACAUCGAUCACAACACCAACACCACCCACUGGUCCCACCCCCUGGAGAGAGAGGGUCUGCCCCCUGGCUGGGAGAAGGUGGAGUCUGCUGAGUUUGGGACCUACUACGUGGACCACCUCAACAAGAGGGCUCAGUAUAGACACCCCUGUGCUCCUAGCGUGCCUCGUUAUGACCAGCCCCCUCCCCUGCCCCCUCCGGUAGUGUACCAGCCUCGCCCCUCGGAGAGGAACCAUCCGGUUCUGGUACCAGCCAACCCGUACCACACGGCAGAGAUCCCUGACUGGCUACAGGUGUAUGCCCGCGCCCCGCUCAAGUAUGACCACAUCCUGAAGUGGGAGCUGUUCCAGCUGGUGGAUCUGGACACGUACCAGGGCAUGUUGAAGCUGCUCUUCAUGAAGGAACUGGAGCGUAUCGUCAAGUCCUACGAGGCCUACCGUCAGGCCCUGCUGUCUGAGGUGGACCAAAGGAAACCGAGGCAGCAGUGGUACACUCAGGCCCAGCAGCAGUCGGGCAAGAACUUCACAGGGAACAUGUGAACUGGGUCGUAAAUUCACUCGAAGCAAACGGGGGAGAAAACAAAGAAGGACCUACCUGAAUUUGUCCAAUAAACCAGUUGGUUGUUGCUAAACAGUUUGCAACAGUGUGCACUAAUGAAUACAACCCCGAAUUGACUGGACGGAGGAAUGGACUCUGUGCUAGCUCAACAUUGGACUUCAAGGACUCUCAUUCUACACUGUUCAUACAGAGUUCAGCCCUGGGGAACUGUUGUCCCACCCCUCGGAGGUUACUACAGCACAGAGAUCUCCCCCUCGGAGGUUACUACAGCACAGAGAUCUCCUCCUCGGAGGUUACUACAGCACAGAGAUCUCCUCCUCGGAGGUUACUACAGCACAGAGAUCUCCUCCCGAGGUUACUACAGCACAGAGAUCUCCUGAGGUUACUACAGCACAGAGAUCUCCCCCUCGGAGGUUACUACAGCACAGAGAUCUCCUCCUCCCGAGGUUACUACAGCACAGAGAUCUCCCCCUCGGAGGUUACUACAGCACAGAGAUCUCCCCCUCGGAGGUUACUACAGCACAGAGAUCUCCCCCUCGGAGGUUACUACAGCACAGAUCUCCCCCUCGGAGGUUACUACAGCACAGAGAUCUCCCCCUCGGAGUUACUACAGCACAGAGAUCUCCCCCUCGGAGUUACUACAGCACAGAGAUCUCCCCCCCGGAGGUUACUACAGCACAGAGAUCUCCUCCUCCCCCCGAGGUUACUACAGCACAGAGAUCUCCUCCUCCCCCGAGGUUACUACAGCACAGAGAUCUCCUCCUCCCCCGAGGUUACUACAGCACAGAGAUCUCCUCCUCCCCCGAGGUUACUACAGCACAGAGAUCUCCUCCUCCCCCGAGGUUACUACAGCACAGAGAUCUCCUCCUCCCCCCGAGGUUACUAUAGCACAGAGAUCUCCUCCUCCCCCCGAGGUUACUAUAGCACAGAGAUCUCCUCCUCCCGAGGUUACUACAGCACAGAGAUCUCCUCCUCCCGAGGUUACUACAGCACAGAGAUCUCCUCCCAAGGUUACUACAGCACAGAGAUCUCCUCCUCCCGAGGUUUGUCCACCCCCCCUCCCCUUUGAGGGACGGGGCAGCAGUAGGUUUCUACAGUCCUGAGGUUUUGUCCUCGUCCCCUGAGGUUUGUAGGGAGGGCCAGGCAGCGGUAGGUUUCUACAGUCCUCCUCUGGCUCUGUUUUCUAAAGGCAGGAAGAUUACAGGCUGCCAGAUCUGCUUGUUUAAAUGUCCAUAAAUGACUAUAAUAAGAUGACAGGUUGAGAUUGUGCCUUUUCAUCAAUGGCAGAACUUGCUUGUUAUUUUUUUAAUUUUUUUUUGCUUUGUAAAAUUAUAUUAAAACAAUUCCAUUUGAGAGCAGGACCAGCAGUGUUGCCUUAGGAACUCGUUUCCAUAUGAAUUCUGCUUCAUAAAUGUUUUUGUAAUUGUAUCUCGCCCCAUAAAACAGAAAGGAUAUUAUUGAACUUUAACAAUUUAAUGUGAUAUAUAUAUAUAUUGUAAUUGUCAUCAAUACAUCCUUUUGUUGACACAAUCCUUUAAAAUGUAUGUAAUUGUCUUACAUAAGAAUUUGAAGUUCUGGUGUGGAAUAGGUCUUCAUGAAGACCUGACGCUUUGUAGGAUACACUACAGCGUUACGUGUCAGGAACUUGGCUCCGUGCAUCACUAUACAUCAUCAUUAAUGAAUUAAAUCACAAUAUCCUUAUUAUAAUAUGACCUGUAGUAUUAUAGAAACACACAAGCUACUGGAAACAUAUCUAAAGCCCAAAUUACACCCUAUUCCCUAUGAGCCCUGGUCAAAAGUAGCGCACUACAUAGGGCACUAUUUCCCCUGGUCCUCCUGUACCCCCAACAGUACACCAACACCGGUCCUCCAGUACCCCCAACAGU